UGAAAUCUCACCAGGCCCGGACACUGGAAGGAUUGACAGACUGAGAGCUCUUUCUCGAUUCGGUGGGUGGUGGUGCAUGGCCGUUCUUAGUUGGUGGAGCGAUCUGUCUGGUUAAUUCCGAUAACGAACGAGACCCCAACCUGCUAACUAGCCCUCGGGUCCUGCUUCUGUUGGGCCCGACGGAAUGAUUCGCUUCUUAGAGGGACUCGCGGCGCCUAGCCGCACGAAGGGGGGCGAUAA
Molecule: ribosomal RNA, 240 nt
Filed under: uncultured eukaryote
Lineage: Eukaryota
Description: partial 18S ribosomal RNA
Rfam family: Eukaryotic small subunit ribosomal RNA
Source: RNAcentral